Molecule: transfer RNA, 73 nt
Filed under: Fidelibacterota bacterium
Lineage: Bacteria; Pseudomonadati; Fidelibacterota
Also listed under: 4 other names
Description: tRNA-Thr
Rfam family: tRNA
About the family: Transfer RNA (tRNA) molecules are approximately 80 nucleotides in length. Their secondary structure includes four short double-helical elements and three loops (D, anti-codon, and T loops).
Source: RNAcentral
GCCACCAUAGCUCAGUUGGAAGAGCAGGGGUUUUGUAAACCUCAGGUCGCGGGUUCGAAUCCUGCUGGUGGCU